RNAcentral lists this ribosomal RNA (253 nucleotides) under uncultured bacterium. RNAcentral describes it as "partial 16S ribosomal RNA". It matches the Rfam family "Bacterial small subunit ribosomal RNA", at positions 524 to 776 of the family's 1533-position model. The record is from RNAcentral.
UACAGAGGAGCCAAGCGUUGUCCGGAUUGACUGGGCGUAAAGCGCACGCAGGCGGACGCGCGCGUGGGGUGUGAAAUCUGGCCGCUUAACGGCCAGGCGCCAUCCCAUACGGCGCGUCUGGAGUGAUGCAGAGGUCGGUGGAAUUGCCGGUGUAGUGGUGAAAUGCGUAGAUAUCGGGAAGAACACCAACGGCGAAGGCACUCUGCUGGGCCGACACUGACACUAAGAGACGAAAGCUAGGGUAGCGAAUGGG